RNAcentral lists this ribosomal RNA (497 nucleotides) under uncultured soil bacterium. RNAcentral describes it as "bacterial SSU rRNA". It matches the Rfam family "Bacterial small subunit ribosomal RNA", at positions 26 to 515 of the family's 1533-position model. The record is from RNAcentral.
AGAAUGAACGCUGGCGGCGCGCCUAAUACAUGCAAGUCGAGCGAGAAGACGUAGCAAUACGUUUGUAAAGCGGCGAACGGGUGAGGAAUACAUGGGUAACCUACCCUCGAGUGGGGAAUAACUAGCCGAAAGGUUAGCUAAUACCGCGUACGCUUCUUGGACUUCGGUUCAGGGAGGAAAGCGAUGCCGAGGGUAUCGCGCUCUUGGAUGGGCUCAUGUCCUAUCAGCUUGUUGGUGAGGUAACGGCUCACCAAGGCUUCGACGGGUAGCUGGUCUGAGAGGACGAUCAGCCACACUGGCACUGCGACACGGGCCAGACUCCUACGGGAGGCAGCAGUAAGGAAUAUUGCGCAAAUGGGCGAAAGCCUGACGCAGCGACGCCGUGUGGGAUGAAGGCCUUCGGUGUAAGCUCUUUCAGCCGGAAAGAAACGCAACGGUUAAUAACCUGUGUGGAUGACGGUACGGAAGAAGAAGCACGGCUAACACGUGCCAGCACG